This 192-nucleotide small nuclear RNA is filed under the name Hydra vulgaris (swiftwater hydra). Its description in RNAcentral is "U2 spliceosomal RNA". It matches the Rfam family "U2 spliceosomal RNA". From Rfam's summary of the family: U2 is a small nuclear RNA (snRNA) component of the spliceosome (involved in pre-mRNA splicing). Complementary binding between U2 snRNA (in an area lying towards the 5' end but 3' to hairpin I) and the branchpoint sequence (BPS) of the intron results the bulging out of an unpaired adenosine, on the BPS, which initiates a nucleophilic attack at the intronic 5' splice site, thus starting the first of two transesterification reactions that mediate splicing. Lineage: Eukaryota; Metazoa; Cnidaria; Hydrozoa; Anthoathecata; Hydridae. The record is from Rfam by way of RNAcentral.
AUCGCUUCUCGGCCUAAUAGCUAAGAUCAAGUGUAGUAUCUGUUCUUAUUUCGGCUCCGGACCAUUUCACAAUUGGUUACGGUGUUGUUAGAAAGCAGAAACAGCACAAGAUCGAAACCGUGUCAGUCGAUAGAGGUUCAUGGCGUAGUCGCUUUUUCAGUGUCUCCGGACGUUAAAUGGAGAUAAUCCAUU